RNAcentral lists this ribosomal RNA (253 nucleotides) under uncultured bacterium. RNAcentral describes it as "partial 16S ribosomal RNA". It matches the Rfam family "Bacterial small subunit ribosomal RNA", at positions 524 to 776 of the family's 1533-position model. The record is from RNAcentral.
GACGAACCGUGCGACCGUUGUUCGGAUUCACUGGGCUUAAAGGGCGCGUAGGCGGGCCGCCAAGUCCGGGGUGAAAGCCUCCAGCUCAACUGGAGAAGUGCCCCGGAUACUGGUGGCCUCGAGGGGGGUAGGGGCACGCGGAACUUCCGGUGGAGCGGUGAAAUGCGUAGAUAUCGGAAGGAACGCCGGCGGCGAAAGCGGCGUGCUGGGCCCCCCCUGACGCUGAGGCGCGAAAGCGUGGGGAGCAAACAGG